UACGUAGGGCGCAAGCGUUGUCCGGAAUUAUUGGGCGUAAAGAGCUCAUAGGCGGCUUGUCACGUCGGGUGUGAAAGCCCGGGGCUUAACCCCGGGUCUGCAUUCGAUACGGGCAGGCUAGAGUGUGGUAGGGGAGAUCGGAAUUCCUGGUGUAGCGGUGAAAUGCGCAGAUAUCAGGAGGAACACCGGUGGCGAAGGCGGAUCUCUGGGCCAUUACUGACGCUGAGGAGCGAAAGCGUGGGGAGCGAACAGG
This 253-nucleotide ribosomal RNA is filed under the name uncultured bacterium. Its description in RNAcentral is "partial 16S ribosomal RNA". It matches the Rfam family "Bacterial small subunit ribosomal RNA", at positions 524 to 776 of the family's 1533-position model. The record is from RNAcentral.